ACAGUUGGUGUCCCCUGGAAACCUUGAGUUGGCAAACAGAUCCAAAGCGGUAGUGGUCUUUCACAGAGAUUGAUCCACAAGUAAUCAGGUGCAUGAUCAUGUUUGCGGCUUUCAAUUUUGAUCCGGUUGGGAGGUAAACAUCCUCUCCUUCCAAAUUCCUAUAGCCGUUCCUUCUGCUUAGUUCUGCUCUUAUCAGGGAUUGCAGUGUACUCAUCUUUGCACAUGAAGGAGAGGAAGGACCUGAAGAUGUUGGUGGCUGUGAACUCCCUACUUUAACGAUAUUUGGGUCCUCCUUCGAACACAUCAAUCCACGAUUUCUCCUUUCUUCUCCGUUGUCGAUUUGAG
This 345-nucleotide long non-coding RNA is filed under the name Musa acuminata (dwarf banana). RNAcentral describes it as "long non-coding RNA (MACU_LNC006460)". Lineage: Eukaryota; Viridiplantae; Streptophyta; Magnoliopsida; Zingiberales; Musaceae. The record is from RNAcentral.